RNAcentral lists this ribosomal RNA (238 nucleotides) under uncultured bacterium. RNAcentral's name for it is "partial 16S ribosomal RNA". It matches the Rfam family "Bacterial small subunit ribosomal RNA", at positions 524 to 776 of the family's 1533-position model. The record is from RNAcentral.
UACAGGGGGUGCAAACGUUGCUCGGAAUCAUUGGGCGUAAAGCGCACGUAGGCGGUCUGUUAUGUCGGAUGUGAAAGCCCUUGGCUCAACUGAGGAAGUGCAUCCGAAACUGGCAGGGGAAGAUGGAAUUACCGGUGUAGCGGUGAAAUGCGUAGAGAUCGGUAGGAGCACCAGUGGCGAAGGGGGUCUUCUGGAGCAGGAGUGACGCUGAGGCGCGAGAGGUGGGGGAGCGAACGGG